Non-coding RNA from Danio rerio (zebrafish), 1979 nucleotides. The record is from RefSeq and is a predicted model, not a curated record. NCBI's taxonomy places the organism in Eukaryota, Metazoa, Chordata, Actinopteri, Cypriniformes, Danionidae.
AAUUCUAAAGGCAAGGGGGUUCAGUACUAGUAAGCUGUACCUAAUAAAGUGGCCGGUGAGUGUAACGUUAAAAGCUCUAUUAAUAGAUACUGGAAAACAACUCUGUUUUAGACAAUAUCUCAAAACUUUGUUUGACCAUUUUCUAUUUAUAAAGUUAACAUUUUCUAUCUUAAGAUCAACCGGUUUGGGAGUUAUCGCUGAAUAUUUUGUAUGUUCCUUCACUAACCAUUUGCAAAGGUAUCUUCUUAAUAAUUAUCAUUUAGGGAAACAACUUAUUUAGUAUUUUCAACAGAAAGCAUCAUAACUUAACAUAUUUCCUAAAUUAUCCAUACACGACAUCAAAUUACUCAAAUUCUAAACUCCAUUUCCUCAACACCUGAACAGAAUAUACAAACUUCCGGUUCCACAGUUCCACAAGCGUGUGACCAUGGUUACAGUUGUCUGAAUGGACACAUACUAUUUCUGCUCAACAACUACGCGUCUACAAUUCAUAAAAUGUCGAAGCAAGAGCGACUGUACGAGUUGAAUAUGCAUAGAGAAACGUGGUGUCGUGUGGAGACAACGAGCAAGUACUGGAAUUUGCCUGAAAGGAAACAUUUUCGUUGUCACCUGCAGAACACCUGCGACAUCAGCGCGCUGCAGACUGCGAGCCCCGAGCAGCGCUCCGCCUGGAUGAGCAGCGGAGGACAAAACACCGCACACCCCGAGCGGAGACACUUCGAGGACAGCUAUAGAGCUCAUCUGGUAUGAGGAGCUGCAGUCAACCUCUGUGGAAUAAAGUCGUCCAGACAGAAAUAAACAUUUAUAAAUACAAUGAAAUAUCAAAUAUUGUAAAUAAUUAAUACUAUACAGUGAAUUAAACAAUUUUGAGUUAAAUGUACAGUUACAUUUUUAUAUCAUUCAUUCAUUUUCUAUUCAGCUUUUUAAUCCCUUAUUAAAAUUAAUAUUAUCCCUUAAACUUAUUAAUCAGGGGUUGCCACAGUGGAAUAAACCACCAACUUAGCAUAUGUUUUGCGCAGCGGAUGCAUUUGGAAUGGCUCAUCCUUAUGCCCUAAUCCCUUUGGAGGGUCCCUUUGAAGGGGAUAGAGCAGAGGGAUGAGCCCUUCUGAACCGAAUGCAGUGUGUGACACCUUCCCUGCUCAAAGGAUUGUGGUAUAUCCCGUUUGGACUGCACCAAGUGUUAUGGUGCAUCCCAUUUGGGGACUUUUGCACUAGUCUACUGAAGUAUGAUUCUGAAGUAUGAACAGUGCAGGUAUUGUGUUCACACUGAAAAUUAAUUCCAAAAAAGUGCACUUUAAAUAUCCUGAUGAAAGAUUUUGUAAAGGAGUUCAUUUUGACCCUUAUCAACUAACUAUUCAAAUAGAUGGAUAAAACUAAUUUUCAUUAAAAUGCAUCAUACAAGUGAGCUAUUUAUUCUAUUUAUUCACAAAAUCAAAUCAAAGACACUAAUUGUAAGGCUUGAGAUACCACAAAUACUUUGAUGUCUUUGACAGUUCGAAUAUGAGUUGAAAACAGAGACAAUCAGUUCCACAAUCCAGCAGGUGGGAAUGCGGGAAAAACCAGCUCCCCUCCAUUCCUCAGUUUACAUUUGAAACAUUUCUUAACUCACACAGAAUGGUCAUUUCAAAGUCUGAAUGUUCUAAAUCAACCCAAGUGACUUUAUCUAUCAUGUUUGAUAUCAUUUGAAAUGUCUCAGUGCGACUGGUACCAUGGUCUCAUUCCCUCAGAAAUAGACAUAAUCAAAAUAAUAAAUAUAUAACUUCAGGUAUCUUUUGAACCACUGUGAAGGGCGUGCCUAUAGGCAGAAACUCUUUUACUAAAUGCAAAUGACUUUUGUUAUUCACACACCUCUUUCCUUGAGGGGAUUCUUGGAUUUACUACUUAAGGGAAGGUUUCUAAAAUGUUCAUCGUUUAUGAAUUGACUGAAUGAAUUGGCAUAAUACACAUUUACCUGAUUAUUAAAUUAUGUUUGAACAUAA